RNAcentral lists this ribosomal RNA (261 nucleotides) under uncultured prokaryote. Its description in RNAcentral is "partial 16S ribosomal RNA". It matches the Rfam family "Bacterial small subunit ribosomal RNA", at positions 524 to 784 of the family's 1533-position model. The record is from RNAcentral.
UACGUAGGGUGCAAGCGUUAAUCGGAAUUACUGGGCGUAAAGCGUGCGCAGGCGGUUUUGUAAGUCUGUCGUGAAAGCCCCGGGCUCAACCUGGGAAUUGCGAUGGAGACUGCAAGGCUUGAAUCUGGCAGAGGGGGGUAGAAUUCCACGUGUAGCAGUGAAAUGCGUAGAGAUGUGGAGGAACACCGAUGGCGAAGGCAGCCCCCUGGGUCAAGAUUGACGCUCAUGCACGAAAGCGUGGGGAGCAAACAGGAUUAGAUA